Molecule: ribosomal RNA, 494 nt
Filed under: uncultured bacterium
Lineage: Bacteria
Description: partial 16S ribosomal RNA
Rfam family: Bacterial small subunit ribosomal RNA
Source: RNAcentral
GACGAACGCUGGCGGCGUGCUUAACACAUGCAAGUCGAACGGUGAAGCGCCUUCCUUUUUGGUGGGUGUGGAUGAGUGGCGAACGGGUGAGCAACACGUGAGUAACCUGCCCCCCUCUUCUGGAUAACCGCAUGAAAGUGUGGCUAAUACGGGAUAUUCUGGGUCUGUCGCAUGAUGGGUCUGGGAAAGAUAUUGUUUCGGUGGGGGAUGGGCUCGCGGCCUAUCAGCUUGUUGGUGGGGUGAUGGCCUACCAAGGCGGUGACGGGUAGCCGGCCUGAGAGGGUGGACGGUCACACUGGGACUGAGACACGGCCCAGACUCCUACGGGAGGCAGCAGUGGGGAAUAUUGCACAAUGGGCGCAAGCCUGAUGCAGCGACGCCGCGUGAGGGAUGGAGGCCUUCGGGUUGUGAACCUCUUUCGCCAGUGAAGCAGGCCUGCCUCGUUUGUGGGUGGGUUGACGGUAGCUGGAUAAGAAGCGCCGGCUAACUACGUG